GCAUACUUAUCCUCCUCUUGCUUUCGGAGAAAUUCCUCGUGCAUUUCCUGGGCUUCUCUCCUUAUCUCUCUUAGUUCUAUCAAAGCUUUGGACUCUUUGUCCUCUACACUGCGAUAAAUGUUUGGAACUGAGAAAGAGAUACCUUGUAUAUUUCCCUUCAACCAAUCUUUGUAGGUUUCAUCGUACCCAGCAUUGAAUCGGUCUGCGGCGAUGGUGUCCUUGUUCAUUCGCAUUGCUCUUUUCCAUUCUCUUAGCAUCUCUGAAGCAUCAGGCACUCUAUCAUCCCCAAUGUCGAACACAUAGAUACGGUAGUAUGCUUCUGGAGGUGUAGUCUGUCUUCUUCCGAACUGCCUCAGGACCCGGAUGGGCGCAUAUGGUCGGAUACCUCGAAUACCUGGUAGAGGAAGCAC
Molecule: long non-coding RNA, 410 nt
Filed under: Solanum tuberosum (potato)
Lineage: Eukaryota; Viridiplantae; Streptophyta; Magnoliopsida; Solanales; Solanaceae
Description: long non-coding RNA (STUB_LNC008003)
Source: RNAcentral